AAAAAGAGAAAAAAACAGAAAUAUAUAUAAUACUAAAAAAAAAAGAAACUAGAAGGCUACCUCAGAAUGAGACUCUCUAAUCUACAUCAGAACCAGAUAGAAUGUGCACUGUGUGAGUCUAUUGUUUUCCUUUCACUUGUACCAUUGAAGAUUUAUCCAAGUGCCAGGUUGCUCAGUGCUGUAAUUUUGUUUUAGUGAAACAAGGGAGGUCAGAUAGGUUAUUGGGUCAUCAAGACACGCCAUUUUGGACAUGUGGGAUCUAAUGGAAUAUCACACAUCAAAAUGACUGGCCAGUGAGCAGUUUAUCUCUCUGCAACUGAAGCUGCCUGUGUGACAGGAGACAUGGCAGUAGUCACCAAAAGAAAUGAAUGGAUGUGUGCUAUAGGAGGAUGAG
This 394-nucleotide long non-coding RNA is filed under the name Androctonus crassicauda. Lineage: Eukaryota; Metazoa; Arthropoda; Arachnida; Scorpiones; Buthidae. The record is from RNAcentral.